AUUGAACGCUGGCGGCAGGCCUAACACAUGCAAGUCGAGCGAGCGGCGGACGGGUGAGUAAUGUCUGGGAAACUGCCUGAUGGAGGGGGAUAACUACUGGAAACGGUAGCUAAUACCGCAUACCAUCAGAUGAACCCAUAUGGGAUUAGCUUGUAGGUAAGGUAACGGCUUACCUAGGCGACGAUCCCUAGCUGGUCUGAGAGGAUGAUCAGUCACACUGGAACUGAGACACGGUCCAGACUCCUACGGGAGGCAGCAGGGGGGAAUAUUGGACAAUGGGCGAAAGCCUGAUCCAGCCAUGCCGCGUGUGUGAAGAAGGUCUUCGGAUUGUAAAGCACUUUAAGUUGGGAGGCGUUACCAACAGAAUAAGCACCGGCUAACUUCGUGCCAGCCGCCGCGGUAAUAC
RNAcentral lists this ribosomal RNA (406 nucleotides) under uncultured bacterium. RNAcentral describes it as "partial 16S ribosomal RNA". It matches the Rfam family "Bacterial small subunit ribosomal RNA", at positions 30 to 526 of the family's 1533-position model. The record is from RNAcentral.